AGGUGUAGUCGAUGGGAAACGGGUUAAUAUUCCCGUACCUUGGAUAGCUGCGAUGGAGAGACGGAGAAGGCUAGGUGAGCCGGGCGACGGUUGUCCCGGUUUAAGCGAGUAGGGAGUGGACUUAGGCAAAUCCGGGUCCACAAUCCUGAGACGCGACGACGAGUGCCCACGGGCGCGAAGUCAUUGAUGCCCUGCUUCCAGGAAAAUCUUCUAAGCUUCAGGCUAUUCGAGACCGUACCCCAAACCGACACAGGUGGUCAGGUAGAGAAUACCAAGGCGCUUGAGAGAACUCGGGUAAAGGAACUAGGCAAAAUGGUGCCGUAACUUCGGGAGAAGGCACGCCGGUGUGUACGUGAAGCCCCUGCGGGUGGAGCGGAAGCCGGUCGAAGAUACCAGGCCCCUGCGACUGUUUAUUAAAAACACA
RNAcentral lists this ribosomal RNA (424 nucleotides) under Proteomonas sulcata. Its description in RNAcentral is "partial Bacterial large subunit ribosomal RNA". It matches the Rfam family "Bacterial large subunit ribosomal RNA", at positions 1407 to 1817 of the family's 2925-position model. Lineage: Eukaryota; Cryptophyceae; Pyrenomonadales; Geminigeraceae. The record is from RNAcentral.